GAAGGACUGUGUCUCUGGAGGGCAGAGAACUGCCAGCACCCUGGACAGAGCCGUGCUGCUAGCCGGGAUCGGGAGAGUGAGAGACAAUUCCUGGCUGGCUGCUGGUGUUUUCAGGCUGAGAUCCUGACGCAAGGACAAAGAGGAUGCUAGGGCCAUGAGGAAGUGGUCAGACAAUUCGCUGCAGUAGCCACUAAGGGAAGUGGCUGAAUAGCGGACUGCAGGUCCCCUGGAAGCAGGGAGCACAGUGUGUGGCGUGGCCGGAGGGCUGUGUCGCUGAAGUGGACGCCGCGGUCCUUCGAGAGACGUGGGUCCUAGCGCAGGAGUGAUGGCAGUGAGGAACCACUAACACAGGGCUAAUUCCUAAGACAGCCAGCAGGAGGAGCUAAAGUGCAAUACUGCAUGAUCUCCCCCCAGUAAAGGGCAGCCACGGUGAAGAGAGUUGCAAUUAUCUGAGCUGGAGUGAGUGGACUGACCUCCAUUAAGUGUUGCCUGGAUGAGGAGCUGGAGCCCACCUGCUUUGAGAGAAGCGACGACAUCGGAGGUAUCUGGAGAUUCACAGAACAUGUUGAAGAUGGGAGGCCCAGCCUUUAUAAAUCCGUGGUCAGUAACACCUGCAAGGAGAUGUCGGCCUUCACAGACUUCCCGUAUCCUGAGGAUUUUCCAGUCUUUCUGUCCAACUCCCAAGUCCUGGAGUAUCUCAGGAUGUAUGCCAAGCAGUUUGGCCUUCUGAAGCACAGCCAGUUCAAGAUGAGUUAUAAAAUGUAGUGGCUGGUCCACAUGAGAAGAUAACAAUCUACCAGAACUGCCAGCUGACGGAGGAACUUCUUCAGGGACAGAGACGUUUCAAGGCAAGUACUUUCACAGCCGCCAUUACAAGCAUCCAGAUGUGUCUGAGGGGAAGAGAGUCCUUGUGAUUGGCAUGGGGAAUUCUGGAGUGGAUAUCACCGUUGAGGCCAGUCGUGUGGCUAAAAAGAGAUGUGAUACGGGAGCCUGUGCUGAAUGAUGACCUUCCAGGCUGUAUCAUCACUGGAAAAGUCUCAGUAAAACAGUCUGAAGGAGAUCAAGGAAAACUCAGUCGUGUUUCAGAAUAGCCCACAGAGGAGCCUGUUGAUGUCAUCGUCUUUGCCACAGGAUACAAGUUCUCCUUCCCUUUCCUUAAGGAAUCUCUUUUCAAAGUUGAAAAGAAGCAGGCAUCCCUGUACACAUAUAUCUUCCCCCCCCCCCUCAUCUGGAGAAGCCAACCCUGGCCAUAGUUGGCCUCAUCAAGCCACUUGGCGCGGUCAUGCCAGUUGUAGAAAUUCAAGCUCGCUGGGUCACACGAGUCUUUAAGGGUAGGUGGAGCAGGAAGGUUAGUACGACGUGAGCACUUCCUCAAAGAAAAAGGCAGUGUUUCAGACACAGGUGGUGAGCAAGUGGGUAUGUCGCCCCAUGGCGAUGCAGACCUCAAAGGGAUUCAUCCAGGACUAGGAAAGGUAGUGCUCAUAGACUGGUAUCUAAAUUGGGUUGCUCCACACUUUACCAUCUUAUAGAACAUUUUACAACCCAGUGGCAUCCUUAAUACAUGAACAAGCAAAAUACCCCAAGAAUCAUCUUGGAAAUAGUGAGCUGGAUCUGUCUGAAUAGAAUUGCAGAGCCCUGUUUUUUCCUCUAAGAUACAGGUAACUCCCCUUGAAGAAAAGGGAAGUUUAUUUGUAUUCAGUGGUGAGAGAAGAGGGCCCUCUGUUUGUAACAAUUGGGAAGCCAUGACAUGAGCGCUCACGUCAGCUCCUUGUGGAUGGUGCAGUGGCCAGACUCACUCAAGAGUUUCAGGAGGCAUUGUGUCCCCUUGAGGCACAAUGCUUCUGAGAGCUCCCCCUGGGUUUGUGCGGCUCACCAUGGUCCCCACCACAGUCCUGGGCCUUAAAGGUACAUUCCUGACCCACUGAUAGGCAGCUGUAUCCCUUUAGGGGCAGGAAAAAUGGAAGAGCUUUUGUGUUACUAGGCAGAGCCAGUAAUAACCAGGAUUCUCCACUGCUGCACUAAGACCAGGCAGAAUCCAACAGGCUGGUUCAUCCUUUUCUCGUGGAGGGAGGCAGUUUCUCAUCACCGGAGAGAACAGUGUUACACUCAGGACAACCUGGGGCCUGAUUUUGAUCUCACAUCCACUGGUUUCACGCCAGUGUUGCUCCUUUGGGGCAGAUCCUGAUCUCAGUUAUAUCAGUGUAAUUUCAGAGUAAAUGUUGUGGACUUUAACAGGGUUACUCCAAAAUCACACUGUGUGAUUGAAAUAAUGUUCUGGUCCCUGGUUCCUACAGACGAGGAUUCAAAUCCCAGUCAUCAGAGAAAGAGCCUCCAAAGCAGUGUCUAGACUAGAAUAGAGGAGGUUGUUAGAAGGCACUAGCUAACACAUUCCAACUAAGAUGUUUGAGAAGUCUGGUGCAGACAAAGCCCUGGUGAUACCGGUAGUCUGUGGCAAUGGUUCUCAACUAGGGGUACACAGAGAUUCUCCAGGGGGUACUCAAC
Molecule: non-coding RNA, 2502 nt
Organism: Caretta caretta (loggerhead turtle)
Lineage: Eukaryota; Metazoa; Chordata; Testudines; Cheloniidae
Source: RefSeq, a predicted model, not a curated record